RNAcentral lists this ribosomal RNA (994 nucleotides) under Opisthorchis felineus. Its description in RNAcentral is "16S ribosomal RNA". The stretch from base 644 to 994 matches the Rfam family "Bacterial large subunit ribosomal RNA", at positions 2048 to 2709 of the family's 2925-position model. The record is from RNAcentral. Lineage: Eukaryota; Metazoa; Platyhelminthes; Trematoda; Opisthorchiida; Opisthorchiidae.
CUGUUUCCAUUGGCUUGAGGGCUGUUGUUUUGAGGUUUGUCGGUAGGUGUUGUACCUUUUGCAUCAUGAUUCACUGAGGUUUUCUUUUUAUUAGGGGGUUUCUCGAAGGGUGGCGAUUUCUUUCCAACCUGCUUUGAUCUGAAUGUCUUACAGGUUGUUAGGUAUUAGAGUUGGGGGGUGUUGUGAUAAAUAGUUCGUGCUAUCCUAUAACUAGUUUGUUGUUUUCCUUUUCGUUUGUACCUCUCUUGUCUGGAUAUGAGGGAGGGGGUAAGAAGCGGUUCUUUGUUUUGGGCUGGAUAUAGGUUGAGAGUACCUCGAUUUUUCUGGUGUGUUAAAACUAGCUUUUUUGAAUGGGUUGCUUUUGUUGUUGGUUUACAAUCUUUUAAUUAUGUUUUAGGAGUGUGGUGGAAUAAGUAGUUUGAUUAGUCUCCUUUUUUCUCGGAUCCCUUCGAUCUGUUUAUUAAAAACAUUUCCAUUAUUAAGGUUUAAUGGUAGUGCCUGCCCGAUGCUUUUGGUGAAUGGCCGCAGUAUUUUGACUGUGCUAAGGUAGCAUAAUUAGUUGCCCUAUAAUUGAGGGAUUGUUUGAAAGGUUUGAUUAGGGGGGUGUAGUUGUUCUAGAUGGAGGCUUUUUUCGAAAUUGGUUUUUUGGUGCAGAACCCAAAGAUGAUGAGUAAGACGGAAAGACCCCGAGAGCUUGGAUUUAUUUUUUACCUGGGGCGGGGGUAUAUGAUUCAUGUAUUUUUUGAUCCUCUGUGGGAUUGUAGGGAUAAGUUACCUCGGGGAUAACUAGGUAAGAAACAAGGAGAGGUCCUAUUGAUUUGUUUGGUUGCCAUCUCGAUGUUGGUUUGGGGUAGCGAAAAGGCGCAGCAGCCUUUUCGUUGGGUCUGUUCGACCAUAGUUCCCCAUGAGCUGAGUUAAGACCGGCGUAAGCCAGGUCGGUUCUUAUCUGCUUGGGCUGUGUUCUAGUACGAGAGGAUUGUUCACGGUUUAUGUU